UGGGGAAUCUUGCACAAUGGGCGAAAGCCUGAUGCAGCCAUGCCGCGUGAAUGAUGAAGGCCUUAGGGUUGUAAAAUUCUUUCGCUAGGGACGAUAAUGACGGUACCUAGUAAAGAAGCCCCGGCUAACUUCGUGCCAGCAGCCGCGGUAAUACGAAGGGGGCUAGCGUUGUUCGGAAUUACUGGGCGUAAAGCGCGCGUAGGCGGACUGCCAAGUUGGAUGUGAAAUCCCGGAGCUCAACUCCGGAACUGCAUUCAAAACUGGUAGUCUAGAGGCCAGGAGAGGUCAGUGGAAUACCGAGUGUAGAGGUGAAAUUCGUAGAUAUUCGGUGGAACACCAGUGGCGAAGGCGACUGACUGGACUGGUACUGACGCUGAGGUGCGAAAGUGUGGGGAGCAAACAGG
RNAcentral lists this ribosomal RNA (404 nucleotides) under uncultured bacterium. Its description in RNAcentral is "bacterial SSU rRNA". It matches the Rfam family "Bacterial small subunit ribosomal RNA", at positions 355 to 776 of the family's 1533-position model. The record is from RNAcentral.